Molecule: ribosomal RNA, 543 nt
Filed under: Curtobacterium sp. 162
Lineage: Bacteria; Bacillati; Actinomycetota; Actinomycetes; Micrococcales; Microbacteriaceae
Description: bacterial SSU rRNA
Rfam family: Bacterial small subunit ribosomal RNA
Source: RNAcentral
CGACGACGGGUAGCCGGCCUGAGAGGGUGACCGGCCACACUGGGACUGAGACACGGCCCAGACUCCUACGGGAGGCAGCAGUGGNGAAUAUNGCACAAUGGGCGAAAGCCUGAUGCAGCAACGCCGCGUGAGGGAUGACGGCCUUCGGGUUGUAAACCUCUUUUAGUAGGGAAGAAGCGAAAGUGACGGUACCUGCAGAAAAAGCACCGGCUAACUACGUGCCAGCAGCCGCGGUAAUACGUAGGGUGCAAGCGUUGUCCNGAAUUAUUGGGCGUAAAGAGCUCGUAGGCGGUUUGUCGCGUCUGCUGUGAAAUCCCGAGGCUCAACCUCGGGCUUGCAGUNGGUACGGGCAGACUAGAGUGCGGUAGGGGAGAUUGGAAUUCCUGGUGUAGCGGUGGAAUGCGCAGAUAUCAGGAGGAACACCGAUGGCGAAGGCAGAUCUCUGGGCCGUAACUGACGCUGAGGAGCGAAAGCAUGGGGAGCGAACAGGAUUAGAUACCCNGGUAGUCCAUGCCGUAAACGUUGAGGCUGCUAGAUGUAGGG